Benincasa hispida (wax gourd) is the source of this 1866-nucleotide non-coding RNA. The record is from RefSeq and is a predicted model, not a curated record. Lineage: Eukaryota; Viridiplantae; Streptophyta; Magnoliopsida; Cucurbitales; Cucurbitaceae.
CUUCAAAUUUUAGGGCUCAAAACUUUUUUUUUUUCAUUUCUCCACCAUUCUAGUUUCUCUCCCAAAUUCACAUAUUUCUAAUAUUAUUCUUCGAUUCUGAGGCACUUCGCAAUCCAAGCCCCAUCCUCCUCUACUUCAAGACUCGACAUAGUCACUUCUCUCGUCUCGGCAGCAGCGAUAGGGCUUCCGCCUUUGUCGUAUCGGCUCCAUUUUUUCUUGUUCAGACUUUCCUUGAUCGACUUCGAUCGAGUUCUCCUCACUCAAACAUCAAGUUCUCCUCGCUCAGACUCUCCUCGAACGAGUUCUUCUCGUUCAGACAUUGAGUUCUUCAUACUCAGACCAUCGAGUUCUCCUCGCUCAGACCAUCGAGAUUUCCUCGCUCAGACAUCGAGUUAUCCUCGCUCAGUCAUCGAGUUCUCCAUGCUCAGACCAUCGAGUUCUCCUUACUUAGACCAUCGAGUUUUCCUUACUCAAACCAUGAGUUCUCCUCGCUCAGACAUCAAGUUCUCCUCGCUCAGGCAUCGAUUUCUUCUCGCUCAGACUCUCGUCGAUUGAGUUCUCCUCGAUCGACAUCAAGUUCUCCUCGCUCAGACUAUCCUCGAUCGACUUCCAUCAAGUUCUCCUCGAUCGACUUCCAUCGAGUUCUCCUCGAUCGACAUCCAAUUUCCUCACUCAUACUCUCCUUGAUUGACUUCUCGACUUUUUGCACUCGACUUCGACUUUCCCACUUCAAUUUCUCUUUCUUUAGAGCUCUCCAAACGAAAGAAUGUGAGUUCUCAUUUCUUAUCAGCAUUACCAAAGAAGUAUGCCAUCGAAAAGUUCAUUGAAAAAUUAGACAUCAGAGUAAAGUAGCCGUUGAUCUCACAUUCUAACCUUCUUCAGAGACAACAUAUUUGAGAGUUGUAAGGAAUGCAUUGAACAAACUGAGACUGAGAUGACAACUUCAACAACUAAUGUGGUUCAUGAUGCUUUGAGUAAGAUUCUUGGCCCUGACCAUGGUCAUGUAAGAGGAUUUGGGUUUGGUGGGACUCGUACAAAACUAUCUCUCUUGUCUCAACAAGAUAACAAGUACAAAGUUCUUGAAAAAAAAUAUAUAAAGAUAGAGGAAAUGAUAGAAAUGAAAGCAAUUAUGUCAUGUUUUAUAAAGAAACAGGUAUUCAUUUUCCUUUAAGUCACUUGCAUUCAUUUUUUUUUUUUUGUCAAUUUUUUUGUUUCAUAUGAAAUUAUCAUAGGUUGAACCAAGUGAGGAACUUUCAAAUGCUAUUGCAAGUGUACCUAAAGCAACAAAUAUUCCUUCAACUUUUCUAAUAUCAUCUCCAUUGGUAAAUUUAUUUAUAAUGUGAUGAGAAUUAUUCUUGAAUUCAUUAUUAUCUUAUUCUAAUACCUUAUAUUUUCCUUUUGAUAAAGUAUCAAUAAAAAUAGUCAAAUUAAGUGCAAGUUGUUAGAUUGGUAUGACUCAGAAGAGAUUGUUGUAGAAGAACAAUGGUCUUCUAAGAAUCCAGUUGCUCUCGUUCAUCACAUUCCUAUUGAUCCACAUGCAGUUAGAGUAUGGGUUGAUGUAUCAAAAAAAACCUGAUGCAUAUUUGUGGAGACCUACAUCUGAGAUGACAUGUAUUGAAGAAGCUUUGGACAGUACAGCUGCAUGACCAUAUGAUAAAGUGAUUAUUGCUGAAUGAAAUGAUGACUUACCAAAGGAAAAGGGAACCAACAAUGACAACUCAAUUACGUAUUUUUUAACACUUGGUGAAUUUUGAACACUUUGUAUUUUGAACACUUGGUCAAUUUUGAAUACUUUGUAUUUUGAGGGCUAACUUAUGUUGUUGGUGUGGUCACUAAAUACUUUAUCUAGCUUGCAUCAUUUAGACA